GGCAGUUUUGUUUUCCGUAUAUAUAUAUACUUGACGUUUCCCAGAAAUUGAAUUGAAAUGAAAAUAUGUUUAAAAUGAAAUGCAUAUGAGUUAUGUGGAAAAACGGGAAGUGAAAUACCAUGCAUAGAAUUGAUAUGAAAAGUAUAUAGAAAUGUGAGUUGAAAUGCCAUGCAUGAAUUAAUAUAUGAUGCAUAUGUAUGAAUUGGUGCGGUGGACGCACAUGUAAGAAUUGAUUUAUGAUGCAUAUGUAUGAAUUGGUGCGGUGGACGCACAGGUAAGAAUUGAUUUAUGAUGCAUAUGUAUGAAUUGGUGCGGUGGACGCACAGGUAAGAAUUGAUUUAUGAUGCAUAUGUAUGAAAUGGUGCGGUGGACGCACAGAUGAGUAUUUAAUUACUGUUAUGAUGAUGAUGAUAUAUAUUGAGCUCAAAUCCUGCACCAUGGUUUAGUGCUUAUAGUAUUCACCGCAUCGCACGCUCGCCUUGGAUCCAAGUAGAUGCUAGUCGUACAGUCCACGCGGAGUGGGUACGACAGACCAGUCGCGAGAGUGUUAGUGAGAUUCCGACUGGUGGGUGACCUUAGAUUAUGUGCACAGAUGAUUUAUGAGAAGCACUAGAGCGUAACUUGUGUGCAGAAGGCCGGACGGGUCACAGAGGUGACUCCGGUAGAGUGAUAAUGAUAGAUUUUGAGCUCUAGGUUCAACCGUAUAGGGCUAUUAGAGGGCCUACGGUUGAUUACUUUCUUGCACCUGAUAUGAUUAUGUUGAUGCAUUCAUACCUUAUUACUGUUGAGAUGAUGUGGCAUGGCAUAAUUAAUAUGAGAAAAUGUUGAGAUGACAUGGCAUGGCAUGAUUGAUAAAGAGAUAAUGUUGAG
RNAcentral lists this long non-coding RNA (870 nucleotides) under Malus domestica (apple). Its description in RNAcentral is "long non-coding RNA (MDOM_LNC008796)". The record is from RNAcentral. Lineage: Eukaryota; Viridiplantae; Streptophyta; Magnoliopsida; Rosales; Rosaceae.